Molecule: ribosomal RNA, 266 nt
Filed under: uncultured Pseudomonas sp.
Lineage: Bacteria; Pseudomonadati; Pseudomonadota; Gammaproteobacteria; Pseudomonadales; Pseudomonadaceae
Description: partial 16S ribosomal RNA
Rfam family: Bacterial small subunit ribosomal RNA
Source: RNAcentral
UUACCAGCACGUUAUGGUGGGCACUCUAAGGAGACUGCCGGUGCAAACCGGAGGAAGUGGGGAUGACGUCAAGUCAUCAUGGCCCUUACGGCCUGGGCUACACACGUGCUACAAUGGUCGGUACAAAGGGUUGCCAAGCCGCGAGGUGAAGCUAAUCCCAUAAAACCGAUCGUAGUCCGGAUCGCAGUCUGCAACUCGACUGCGUGAAGUCGGAAUCGCUAGUAAUCGUGAAUCAGAAUGUCACGGUGAAUACGUUCCCGGGCCUU